UUUAUUGGAGAGUUUGAUCCUGGCUCAGGAUGAACGCUGGCGGCGUGCCUAAUACAUGCAAGUCGAGCGAAUGGAUUAAGAGCUUGCUCUUAUGAAGUUAGCGGCGGACGGGUGAGUAACACGUGGGUAACCUGCCCAUAAGACUGGGAUAACUCCGGGAAACCGGGGCUAAUACCGGAUAACAUUUUGAA
Molecule: ribosomal RNA, 191 nt
Filed under: Bacillus cereus
Lineage: Bacteria; Bacillati; Bacillota; Bacilli; Caryophanales; Bacillaceae
Also listed under: 1 other name
Description: partial 16S ribosomal RNA
Rfam family: Bacterial small subunit ribosomal RNA
Source: RNAcentral